Molecule: ribosomal RNA, 561 nt
Filed under: uncultured bacterium
Lineage: Bacteria
Description: bacterial SSU rRNA
Rfam family: Bacterial small subunit ribosomal RNA
Source: RNAcentral
CCUACGGGAGGCAGCAGUGGGGAAUAUUGGACAAUGGGCGAAAGCCUGAUCCAGCAAUGCCGCGUGAGUGAUGAAGGCCUUCGGGUCGUAAAGCUCUUUUACCAGGGAUGAUAAUGACAGUACCUGGAGAAUAAGCUCCGGCUAACUCCGUGCCAGCAGCCGCGGUAAUACGGAGGGAGCUAGCGUUGUUCGGAAUUACUGGGCGUAAAGAGUACGUAGGCGGUUAUUCAAGUCAGAGGUGAAAGCCCGGGGCUCAACCCCGGAACUGCCUUUGAAACUAGAUAACUAGAGUCUUGGAGAGGUUAGUGGAAUUCCGAGUGUAGAGGUGAAAUUCGUAGAUAUUCGGAAGAACACCAGUGGCGAAGGCGACUAACUGGACAAGUACUGACGCUGAGGUACGAAAGCGUGGGGAGCAAACAGGAUUAGAUACCCUGGUAGUCCACGCCGUAAACGAUGAUAACUAGUUGUUCGGUCACUUGGUGACUGAGUGACGCAGCUAACGCAUUAAGUUAUCCGCCUGGGGAGUACGGUCGCAAGAUUAAAACUCAAAUGAACUGACGG